Molecule: unclassified non-coding RNA, 332 nt
Filed under: Hevea brasiliensis (rubber tree)
Lineage: Eukaryota; Viridiplantae; Streptophyta; Magnoliopsida; Malpighiales; Euphorbiaceae
Source: RNAcentral
CUGGCCUAGAUCGAAAUUGUUUUAGAAGAAUUUAGCAUCAUCAGAUCUCUUUAUAAAUGAGCAUUAACUAUAGUAAAAUUAAGGUAACAUAUUCAUACAACCUACCUUAUCUAGAUUGAAAUUGGUGUUUAGCUAAGUAAGUCAUGUUGUAGUUGUUUGUAAGGUUGUUCUUAUGUGUUAUUAGGGCUAAACAGAGUAUUAAAAAGGUGAUGAUCUAUCUAAAGCUCAGUUCAAAGUAAAGGCGGACAAAUUGUUGAUAUUGCAUUAGUAGUUAAUAAAAUGUUGAUUACUGGUGAUACUGAGGGUAUCUGGACAAUGGACACAUGGACAGG